GUAUUUAAUUGUAUGUUUGGAAAAUGUUAUGUUGUAUUAUAGAGAAAAAGCUCCUGAUCCUCAACUCACCUCAUCUUCAGGUAACACAAGGUAGAGGUCUUUCUAAUUCCGAAGGGAGGAGGUGGAGCGCAUCUUCAGCAGACCUUUAUAAGGACGAGGAUAACCCGCCGCGCCAGAUACGUGUGGAUGCCAAGAGAUGCUCAACAUCUCAGAAACUGUAUUCAUUUCUAUUCAGACUGAUGGCCUCAUAUUCAAAACAAGUAUUGCUAUUUUUUUAUUGUCGUUUUUAUCAAAGAAGGCAGAUGUGUUUGUAAUUUACUGUGGUAUUCCUGUAGAGAGCGGUAGAUAGUUUUCUAAAAAAUGGUUUUAUGCUCACCCCAUACUGUAUACAUAAGCGGAGGGAAGAGAAAUCCUAGCAGUUCUCUUGAUUCCAUUUCACUGUCGAAACGAUACUGGAGCACUUUUUUUGCACAUACCUAAAGGAAAAUCCCAAAUAACGAGCACCUAGCGACUUUGUUUAAGUGCAAUAGAGGAACUGUACGAGACAGUACGUUGCGGAGGGAUUUAGAAAUAAAAACCCAGUGUUGUGCAGUUGCAUUCCCUACCACUUCACUUGCACUGGAUACGGGGAGGCUUUGACUUUUUUCAUCCCAGUUUCUGUCUCAAAACAACCGUAUUCUCGUCUAAAUCCGCUGAAGAACCUGACGGGUAGACCAUCUAUCUGAUGCUGUCUGGUCCAAACCAAGUAUGACAGUGUUUACCCCGGCUAGCAUUGACAGCAAGAGAAGGCAGCGAGCAUCUGGGCUCCGUCGAGCUCAACUGUGAAGGGUCUUGCCCCAUCAACAAGAAAAGGGCUUCCCCAGUGAUUUUACCCAUGCACAGUUACUGCAGGCCCUCCUAUACCCAGGUGACAGACUACGGGUUCAGGGCAGAAGCCAUCAUCCCACAGGACAUACUAAAGGCCUGGGGAAGUCAUUAGCCACCACAUACAACAGGACACUGAUCUUGUACGGUCCAGUCCAUUCGUCAGUCCCAGGGCCAGCACAGGGGGGUCGCUCCGGAGGCCAGAGCCCAUCCGGACCGGGACCCUGUGAUGUCGCACUGACUGACCCCCCUAUCUGCGAAUGACCAGCAAGCAUCUGAGGGUGGGGCCCGCCUCAGUCUCGCAUGAUUGGCUGCUGGAUGGAAUUAAGGUGAAUGGAACACAUGCCCAAGGAGCAGGACCCUAACCUAUCAGAGGGAGAAGAGAAACUGUGAGUCCCGCCCCCUACUUCCUAGGCUCAACCCUACAGGCUAUGACCCUGCCGCUAACAUCACGCG
Oncorhynchus mykiss (rainbow trout) is the source of this 1320-nucleotide non-coding RNA. The record is from RefSeq and is a predicted model, not a curated record. Lineage: Eukaryota; Metazoa; Chordata; Actinopteri; Salmoniformes; Salmonidae.